UACAGAGGUCCCGAGCGUUGUUCGGAUUCACUGGGCGUAAAGGGUGCGUAGGUGGCGAGGUAAGUCGGAUGUGAAAGCUCGGAGCUCAACUCCGAAAUGGCAUUGGAAACUACCUUGCUCGAGGGUUGGAGGGGGGACUGGAAUACUUGGUGUAGCAGUGAAAUGCGUAGAUAUCAAGUGGAACACCAGUGGCGAAGGCGGGUCUCUGGGCCGAAAUUGACGCUGAGGAGCGAAAGCGUGGGGAGCAAACAGG
Molecule: ribosomal RNA, 253 nt
Filed under: uncultured bacterium
Lineage: Bacteria
Description: partial 16S ribosomal RNA
Rfam family: Bacterial small subunit ribosomal RNA
Source: RNAcentral